UAUGUGAUCGUCUCUUGCAUAUCAAUAAGCGGAGGAAAAGAAACUAACAAGGAUUCCCCUAGUAACGGCGAGUGAAGCGGGAAGAGCUCAAAUUUGAAAUCUUAAAGGGUUUCCCUUUACGAAUUGUAGUUUAAAGAAGUGUUUUCUGUUGAGGUUUUGGUAAAAGUUCUUUGGAAUAGGACAUCAUAGAGGGUGAGAAUCCCGUAUUUGACCUUUACUUUCAACUUUGUGAUACACUUUCAAAGAGUCGGAUUGUUUGGGAAUGCAGUCCAAAAUGGGUGGUAAAUUUCAUCUAAAGCUAAAUAUUGGCGAGAGACCGAUAGCGAACAAGUACCGUGAGGGAAAGAUGAAAAGAACUUUGAAAAGAGAGUUAAACAGUACGUGAAAUUGUCAAAAGGGAAGCGUUUGACACCAGUGUUGUUUUUCUGAAAAUCAAUUAAAGAACUGUUUAUGCUAAGUUGUUUAGACUUUAUCAGCUAACUGUUUAGUUUUGAGCUUUUCUUUAAUGCACUUUUCAGUUAACAAGUCAACAUCAAUUUCUUUUGCUGUAAAAAAGCUUGAGGAAGGUGGCUUGAGAUUCGUCUUAAGUGUUUAUAGCCUCUUGCCUAUGCAGUCGGAGAGAUUGAGGUCUGCAGCGUAGAUCCUUCGGGGCUAAAUGCAUUUGUGCUAAGUUAUAGCAUUUUAUAGACAACUUGUUGACUAUGAUUUGUCUUGUAGCUUACUCGCUUAUGUUAUUUUACCUACGCUUAGGAUGUUGAUCUGUAGUGCGUGCGC
Molecule: ribosomal RNA, 774 nt
Filed under: uncultured Neocallimastigales
Lineage: Eukaryota; Fungi; Neocallimastigomycota; Neocallimastigomycetes; Neocallimastigales
Description: partial large subunit ribosomal RNA
Rfam family: Eukaryotic large subunit ribosomal RNA
Source: RNAcentral